GCUGGCGGCAGGCCUAACACAUGCAAGUCGAGCGCGAAAGCACUUCGGUGUGAGUAGAGCGGCGGACGGGUGAGUAAUGCUUGGGAAUCUGCCCAGUAGUGGGGGAUAACGUGUGGAAACGCACGCUAAUACCGCAUACGUCCUACGGGAGAAAGCAGGGGAUCUUCGGACCUUGCGCUAUUGGAUGAGCCCAAGUCAGAUUAGCUAGUUGGUGAGGUAAUGGCUCACCAAGGCGACGAUCUGUAGCUGGUCUGAGAGGAUGAUCAGCCACACUGGGACUGAGACACGGCCCAGACUCCUACGGGAGGCAGCAGUGGGGAAUAUUGCACAAUGGGCGAAAGCCUGAUGCAGCCAUGCCGCGUGUGUGAAGAAGGCUCUAGGGUUGUAAAGCACUUUCAGUGGGGAGGAAAAGCUUAAAGCUAAUACCUUUGAGCCUUGACGUUACCUGCAGAAGAAGCACCGGCAAACUCCGUG
RNAcentral lists this ribosomal RNA (474 nucleotides) under uncultured bacterium. Its description in RNAcentral is "bacterial SSU rRNA". It matches the Rfam family "Bacterial small subunit ribosomal RNA", at positions 35 to 507 of the family's 1533-position model. The record is from RNAcentral.